This is a long non-coding RNA of Mercurialis annua (annual mercury), 453 nucleotides long. RefSeq lists it as uncharacterized. The record is from RefSeq and is a predicted model, not a curated record. NCBI's taxonomy places the organism in Eukaryota, Viridiplantae, Streptophyta, Magnoliopsida, Malpighiales, Euphorbiaceae. The transcript is spliced from 3 exons.
UUCAGCAGCCAAAAAUGAGAUCAUCUUCAUCAUUUGAGAAAUCAACAUGAACAAUUUUCAAAACUCCAUAACUUCUUCAUUUUUGAUCCGAUUGGAGCGAUUCUUGCGGCCACGAAACGAGAGGAGCGAGAGCUACGCAUAUAGCACUGAAAAUCAAGACUCGGCGAGGCGAAUACCAACGGAACUUGGAACGUAAAGGACGCGGCAUCCCUUUGCUAUUAUCGAAGUUUAUGGAUAGCAAGCGUGUUUUAUUUCAGGUGAUAGUACUUUGAAGAGAUGGACUUCCAUUUUUGUUCCGGAAGUCUGCAACAUAAAAAGUAUGUAUUGAAGUACGCUUCAAUUCGUAGCGCUGCAGUAGUCAGUAGAUGUCAGUCUAUAUUUGAUUGUUUGUAUCAAACGAGGUCCAGCUGUUAACUCUGAUUUUAUAAAAUAUAUACACGAUUUAUAAAACUA